GACGAACGCUGGCGGCGUGCUUAACACAUGCAAGUCGAACGGAAAGGCCCUGCUUUUGUGGGGUGCUCGAGUGGCGAACGGGUGAGUAACACGUGAGUAACCUGCCCUUGACUUUGGGAUAACUUCAGGAAACUGGGGCUAAUACCGGAUAGGAGCUCCUGCUGCAUGGUGGGGGUUGGAAAGUUUCGGCGGUUGGGGAUGGACUCGCGGCUUAUCAGCUUGUUGGUGGGGUAGUGGCUUACCAAGGCUUUGACGGGUAGCCGGCCUGAGAGGGUGACCGGCCACAUUGGGACUGCGGUACGGCCCAGACUCCUACGGGAGGCAGCAGUGGGGAAUAUUGCACACUGGGCUGAAGCCUGAUGCAGCACCGCCGCGUUCGGGAUGACGGCCUUCGGGUUGUAAACCGCUUUCGCCUGUGACGAAGCGUGAGUGACGGUAAUGGGUAAAGAAGCACCGGCUAACUACGUG
This 468-nucleotide ribosomal RNA is filed under the name uncultured bacterium. RNAcentral's name for it is "partial 16S ribosomal RNA". It matches the Rfam family "Bacterial small subunit ribosomal RNA", at positions 28 to 507 of the family's 1533-position model. The record is from RNAcentral.